GGCUUAGAGUUUGAUCAUGGCUCAGGAUAAACGCUGGCGGCGCACAUAAGACAUGCAAGUCGAACGGACUUAACUCAUUCUUUUAGAUUGAGAGCGGUUAGUGGCGGACUGGUGAGUAACACGUAAGCAACCUGCCUAUCAGAGGGGAAUAACAGUGAGAAAUCAUUGCUAAUACCGCAUAAGCUAGUAAUACCGCAUGGUAUAGCUAGAAAAGGAGUAAUCCGCUGAUAGAUGGGCUUGCGUCUGAUUAGCUAGUUGGUGGGGCAACGGCCUACCAAGGCGACGAUCAGUAGCCGAACUGAGAGGUUGAACGGCCACAUUGGGACUGAGAUACGGCCCAGACUCCUACGGGAGGCAGCAGUCGGGAAUAUUGCGCAAUGGAGGAAACUCUGACGCAGUGACGCCGCGUAUAGGAAGAAGGUUCUCGGAUUGUAAACUAUUGUCCACAGGGACGAAAAGGACUGUACCUGUGAAGAAAGCUCCGGCUAACUACGUGCCAGCAGCCGCGGUAAUACGUAGGGAGCAAGCGUUAUCCGGAAUUAUUGGGUGUAAAGGGUGCGUAGACGGGAUAACAAGUUAGUUGUGAAACCCCUCGGCUCAACUGAGGAACUGCAACUAAAACUAUUAUUCUUGAGUGCAGGAGAGGAAAGUG
Molecule: ribosomal RNA, 652 nt
Filed under: uncultured organism
Description: bacterial SSU rRNA
Rfam family: Bacterial small subunit ribosomal RNA
Source: RNAcentral